UGCUGGGUUUUGCCUAAGAUUCGAAGCCUAAAGCUCUGAAUUCUGACCUCCCUGAUUACUGACUGAGGAAACAAUAUCCCCAAAAUGGAAAGCUCCAGGUCUGUGUGCUUAGAUUUAGGCUCCAAGGACUGAACACCCUGCAUGUAAGGUGUGUGUCUAAGCAGUAUUUAUGACAUAACAAACCAGCCAAGAGCUGGAGGUUCUGAUCAGCAAAUAAGGAAGGAACAACAUCUGACAUCUUUACCCACUUUAACUGUGAGUAUAUGAAAUCUAGGCAACAAAAUAAAUAGAACAGAGACUGGAAGACGUGAUGCUUCCUGGGAGAACAUGUGCCCGAAAGUUCCCACAAUAAUCUCAUCAUGAGGCUCACUCGUUCUCACCUCCAGAGUUCUGGGGGGUAAAAUAAUACAUAAAUGCAAGGAUUAUCUUAUAUAUACACCAAGGGAAAGGAAAUACUGCCUAUUAAGAAUUAGCAGCUAACAGCUGGGCGCGGUGGCUCACACCUGUAAUCCCAGCACUUUGGGAGGCCAAGGCAGGCGGAUCACAAGAUCAGGAGUUCGAGACCAUGCUGGCUAACAAGCAUCAAGCAAAGAACUUGUAAUACGCUGAAUGCUGCAUAGAAGGUUUUGAAACUACUUACCUGCUGUGGAACACCUGUAUAACUUUAAAAUGCAUCAAUCAAUCUCGAGAGUAUGAUCAUGCUUCCUGCUUUUAAGGAUCUGAAGUUAACUGCAACUCCAAGUAUACAAGACUUCUUUGGGACCCAUGGAAGCAUCUCUACAUGCUCAUGUUUGCCAGAUUCAGUGGCCUCCUGAAACCUGGCCCUAGCUAAUAAGUUAAAAAGCUCUAAGUAAUCCCGAGCUGCAUUUGAAUCUCCAAGAUCACUUGUUCAUGGGUUGGUAAUACUUUAAAGAGCCAUUUGUUUAACUGCUAAUCUGGAUCUUAUAUUCUGAGCCCCAGCUUUUUUCUAAAGCAAAGAAAAUACAAAAUAAAAGUAAGACCAAAUGCCUUUGUACCAUGGAGAGAGAAAUGACUCAUUGGAAUGCUUCUGUUUUUCAUCACAUCAAAGAUGCAUCAACAUAAAUCAACCAUUAUAUCAUGCACCAUGAUAAAAAAGGGGGAUAAAAGUCCCCAAACCACUGCCAAUUAAACCAACACAGUGCCUUUGUAUUAUUCAGAAUUUUUAUCUUAGCCUUAUUGAAAGAGCUUUUUUAGAACAUAUUUAAACAAUUCUGUCAUAUUUCAUUCUUGCAUACUCAUUAAAAAGGAAAAUAUGAGAGAUACAAAUGAA
RNAcentral lists this long non-coding RNA (1291 nucleotides) under Homo sapiens (human). RNAcentral describes it as "HSALNT0299384". The record is from RNAcentral. Lineage: Eukaryota; Metazoa; Chordata; Mammalia; Primates; Hominidae.